Molecule: ribosomal RNA, 454 nt
Filed under: uncultured Leptolinea sp.
Lineage: Bacteria; Bacillati; Chloroflexota; Anaerolineae; Anaerolineales; Anaerolineaceae
Description: bacterial SSU rRNA
Rfam family: Bacterial small subunit ribosomal RNA
Source: RNAcentral
GACGGGCCCGCACAAGCAGCGGAGCGUGUGGUUUAAUUCGAUGCUACACGAAGAACCUUACCAGGGUUUGACAUGCAAGUGGUAGGAACCGAAAGGCGACCGACCCUUCGGGGAGCUUGCACAGGUGCUGCAUGGCUGUCGUCAGCUCGUGUCGUGAGAUGUUCGGUUAAGUCCGCUAACGAGCGCAACCCUCGCUGUGUGUUACAAGUGUCACACGGUACUGCCGGUCUUAAGCCGGAGGAAGGUGGGGAUGACGUCAAGUCAGCAUGGCCUUUAUGUCCUGGGCUACACACACGCUACAAUGGCCAACACAAUAGGUUGCUAAGCCGCGAGGUGGAGCCAAUCCUCAAAGUUGGUCUCAGUUCAGAUUGCAGGCUGCAACCCGCCUGCAUGAAGAUGGAGUUGCUAGUAACCGCAGGUCAGCUAUACUGCGGUGAAUACGUUCCCGGGGCUU